UUUUAAAAUUGACACUUUUUUUUCUUUUUUCUUUUUGAGACAAGGUCUCACUAUGUUUCCCAGGCUGGUCUCAAAUUCUUGGGCUCAAGUGAUCCUCCCGCCUCAGCCUCCCAAGUAGCUGGGACUAUAGGGCCGUGCCACCAUACCUGGAUUAACACAAUUUUUGAGAGCAGUUUUAGUUUCACAGCUGAUACAUUAUUUUUAAGACUUAUUUUAAUAACUUGUCACUCAGUGUGGCACCUGCCUUUUUGAUAGGUCUAUCUCUGUCUCCACUGGUUUUGUAGAUUCUGACAUAGAAAUGUUGGCCAUGGCAGAUGGCAGAUAGAGAGCUUCCUCCAGAUGGACAGGACCACGUCUGCUACUCCCUGGGGAUAACUGCUCCACCAAGCCCGCUCACAUCACCGAAGCCUGCAUUUGCCCUCUGGUCUUGCUGAAAUGAAACCCGGACACUCAGAGCUUUCCUGCCACCUCCCUGACCAAGCCUACCCAAGAAGAGGCAAGGUACAUGGAGAAGGGAUCAUCCUCAUUUUACAUGUGAGGAAACUGACGUUCAGAGAAGCGAACUGACUUUCUCAAGGUUGCAAGGCUCAGCUAGCUCUUCCAUGAAAACUGAAGUGGCCAACUCACUGCAUUGAAAUGAACUGGCCUGGCCGGGCACGGUGGCUCACACCUGCAAUCCCAGCACUUUGGCAGGCCGAGGCAGGCAGAUAACCUGAGGUUGGGAGUUUGGGACCAGUCUGAUCAACAUGAAGAAAACCUGUCUCUACUAACGAUACAAAAUUAGCUGGGCAAGGUGGUGCAUGCCUGUAAUCCCAGCUACUCAGGAGGCUGAAGCAGGAGGAUCUCUUGAACCCGGGAGGUGGAGGUUGCGGUGAGCCAAGAUUGCACCACUGCACUCCAGCCUGGGCAACAAGAGCGAAACUCUGUCUCAAAAAGAAAAAGAAAAAGAAAGAAAGGAAAGAAGGAAGGAAGGAAGGAAGGAAGGAGAGAGAGAGAAAAAGAAAAGAAAAGAAAGAAAGAAAUUAACUGGCCUUAAGUUUCCCAUUUUGGCCAGGCUGCCAGGAAGCUGACGGCCUACUGUGAAGCUCCAAUCUAGCACUGCCCCUUAGCAUGGGGACUUAGCUGUCUUUCUCUUGUCCUCAGCACCCGUCAUGUGGCUUGAGCGAGCAGUCCUUUUCUGUGGGGUGCCUCCGGCCCUCUUUUGGAAAGCUGGGGUGGGGAAAUGGCGUUAAUGUGUCAGUUAUCUAUCUUCAUUGGCUUCUCCAGACCUUUUCUCCACUCUGCACUGGGCGGUGGGAGAUGACACGAAUGGACGUGAAUGGGCUCUUGUUUCUGCUUGGGCUGGGCCAGUAGGGAGCUCUGGUAGGAGGGAGCACGGUCACAGUCUCCCCUUGUCAGGAAGCCUCAUCCACAGGGUCUUGUCCCAGGGAGCACCCCCUCUCCUCCCAGUAUCAGGCCAGAGGUGAAUAUCACUAUAAAUAGCCCGGCACCCUGUCCUAUCCCUUGCGCUUUCCUAUACAUGCCCACAGCUUUGUAAACUGUCCCCUUACCACAAUCUCCUCAAAUCACCCAAUUCGAGUGUUUCCUGCCAGGGUCCUGAACACAGAGCACAUAUAAAGGGCAUUGUUGGCUGGGGACGGUGGCUCACGCCUGUAAUCCCAGUACUUUGAGAGGCUGAGGUGGGCAGAGAACCUGAGGUCAGGAGUUCGAGACCAGCCUGGCCAACAUGGGUAAACCCCAUCUCUACUAAAAACACAAAAAUUAGCCGGCCAGGCACAAUGGCUCACACCUAUAAUAGCACUUCGGGAGGCCGAGGUGGGUGGGUCACGAGGUCAGGAGAUCGAGACCAUCCUGGCUAACACGGUGAAACCCUGUAGUCCC
Molecule: long non-coding RNA, 1881 nt
Filed under: Homo sapiens (human)
Lineage: Eukaryota; Metazoa; Chordata; Mammalia; Primates; Hominidae
Description: HSALNT0240686
Source: RNAcentral